Urocitellus parryii (Arctic ground squirrel) is the source of this 103-nucleotide small nuclear RNA. Lineage: Eukaryota; Metazoa; Chordata; Mammalia; Rodentia; Sciuridae. The record is from RefSeq and is a predicted model, not a curated record.
UUGCUUCAGCAGCACAUAUACUAAAACUGAAACAAUACAGAGAAGAUUAGCAUGGCCCCUGCACAAAGAUAACAAGCAAAUUCAUGAAGUAGUCCACAUUAAA